RNAcentral lists this long non-coding RNA (888 nucleotides) under Coturnix japonica (Japanese quail). RNAcentral's name for it is "lncRNA (ENSCJPG00005008111.1)". The record is from RNAcentral. Lineage: Eukaryota; Metazoa; Chordata; Aves; Galliformes; Phasianidae.
ACUUUAUAUAACAGUUGAAUACUAGGCAGCUUGACUUUCCCCUUUGGUAUUUACAUCUCUGGAUGCAAACUGACAAACUCCAAUUCGCUUUCCUCCUUUUUUUCCUUAUUGUCCUCAGGCCUAGAGUAUGUACUCAGGUAGCAAAGUCAGGACAGAUCAGCCUUUGAAAAUAAUAAAAAUAUAAAACUAUAUGAACUAGCACUGCAUUCAGAGUCCUCUGAGAUGUGUCUACUUCAGGCCAUGUUUCAGUCUGAAGAAAUUCAGCAAUAGACCCAUUGCCCGUUCGUUAUGGCUUUCAACCCCUUCUGGUAGCAGCAUAGAAAUAUUAGGAUACAGAGUUUUUUGUUGUUUUCUCAGUCCCUCCCCCCCCCCCCCCCCCUUUUUUUUUUUUUAUUUUUACAUAUAAUAAGAAAUUAUACCCAUGGUCCCGCCUCCAACAGAAUUUAAAAGCAAACAUCUAGAACAAGAUAAGCAUAUGUGAUCUGCUUCCUCUCAUCUUUUCUCUGAGUAUGUUUAAUACAGAGCCAUCUUGAGGCAUUGUGUUUUCCAUGUGAGUGCCAAUGGGUAUCUCUCCCAAAUCCAAGGUUCCUGGUCUUCAGCCUGGAAGCACUGAUGGCUGGCAAACAAAAGGUACUCUUCAGGCUACGAGUACUGUGCUUCAGCCAAAACAGAGACAAAGCGACUCAGGCCUGGACUAGACAUGAAUCAGAGCGAUCAGAAGACCCAGUAUUUCACUCCAGAAGUUCUGUAAGUAUGUUCUACACUGGGCACUUGAAAAUGUUCUGUGAGUAGCAUUAAUAGCCAAGUGUAUAAAGAUUCAUGUGCUUGUUGACAACUUAUAAGGGCAUUUUUUGUUCUGCAAAAAUAAAUAACUAAAGAAAAUUCCCA